AUUGAACGCUGGCGGCAUGCUUUACACAUGCGAGUCGAACGGUAACAGGCCUUCGGGUGCUGACGAGUGGCGAACGGGUGCGUAAUGCAUCGGAACGUACCCAGAGGUGGGGGAUAACGCAGCGAAAGCUGUGCUAAUACCGCAUGUGAUCUGAGGAUGAAAGCGGGGGACCGAGCAGCAAUGUUUGGCCUCGCGCCUUUGGAGCGGCCGAUGUCGGAUUAGCUAGUUGGUGGGGUAAAGGCCUACCAAGGCGACGAUCCGUAGCUGGUCUGAGAGGACGACCAGCCACACUGGGACUGAGACACGGUCCAGACUCCUACGGGAGGCAGCAGUGGGGAAUUUUGGACAAUGGGCGCAAGCCUGAUCCAGCAAUGCCGCGUGCGGGAAGAAGGCCUUCGGGUUGUAAACCGCUUUUGGCAGGAACGAAACGGUGUCCGCUAAUACCGGGCGCUAAUGACGGUACCUGCAGAAUAAGCACCGGCUAACUACGUG
Molecule: ribosomal RNA, 492 nt
Filed under: uncultured bacterium
Lineage: Bacteria
Description: partial 16S ribosomal RNA
Rfam family: Bacterial small subunit ribosomal RNA
Source: RNAcentral